Molecule: ribosomal RNA, 330 nt
Filed under: uncultured bacterium
Lineage: Bacteria
Description: bacterial SSU rRNA
Rfam family: Bacterial small subunit ribosomal RNA
Source: RNAcentral
CACGCAGGCGGAUUGAUAAGUCAGGGGUGAAAUCCCGGGGCUCAACCUCGGAAUUGCCUUUGAUACUGUCUAUCUUGAGUUCGGGAGAGGUUGGCGGAAUUCCUAGUGUAGAGGUGAAAUUCGUAGAUAUUAGGAAGAACACCAGUGGCGAAGGCGGCCAACUGGCCCGAUACUGACGCUCAUGUGCGAAAGCGUGGGGAGCAAACAGGAUUAGAUACCCUGGUAGUCCACGCCGUAAACUAUGGAUGCUAGCCGUUGGGGAGCUUGCUCUUCAGUGGCGCAGCUAACGUCUUAAGCAUCCCGCCUGGGGAGUACGGUCGCAAGAUUAAA